Molecule: long non-coding RNA, 3221 nt
Filed under: Sus scrofa (pig)
Lineage: Eukaryota; Metazoa; Chordata; Mammalia; Artiodactyla; Suidae
Description: lncRNA (ENSSSCG00055029805.1)
Source: RNAcentral
AGUAGCAUUUUGAAUGGUUAGCAAUUCAGACUCAAAGAUCAAAUUGUUUUAUUCAACAUAAAGAGUGAACAAUAGAAAGUAAAAGUGGAAAGAGCUUGGAUGUAAGCAAUAUUGGAGAGGGAAGAGGAUCAGAAAAAUCUAGAACCUGGAGUCAGAAGUGGUCUACCUAAGUUUUGUGUUUCUUCCUUUUUUAAUCACUGAGGGGAUUCUUGAAGAUGUGAUGAGACCAUGUUCUGUAAGAUUUAUAAUUUGAGAUCUAUCUAUCUGGAUAUCUGCAUACGUAACUAAGUAUCUAUAGUGAUCUAUAUAAAUAGAUGUCUAAAUAGAUGGAUAAAACAUAUUUAAGGUUAAAUUAAUCUGUUUAGUAAAAUCUACUAAAUUCUCACUUUCUGUUGUAGGAGCAAAUUGUUUUAUAACAAAUAACAAUUUUUUUUUUUUUUUUUUUUGGUCUCACCUACAGCAUGCACAAUUCCUGGGAUCUGAGCCACAGCAGUGAAAAUGCUGGGAUCCUUAACUACUAGGCUACCAGGGAACUUACAUAAGAGCAAAUAAUUAUAUCAGUUUUUGGAUAUCUUUUUAGGCCUAAAUAAAAGAGAUUAUUGCAAGAUUAUUAUAGAUUUCUAGCCAUACCAGGAAAACUUCCCUUAACUAAUAUAGGCAACAUUCUGGCAUUCUGGUGCUAGAAGAACUUGAACAAGGUUUAUUUGUGUUUUUGUUGUUUUUGUUUUUAAUUUGUGUCUUGGUUGGACAGUCCUGGGCUCAAAUCCUCAUCUAGAGUUUGGUAGUUGUUUGAGUAAGCCACUUAACUUCAUCAUUUGUAAAAUGAGUUGUUAACAGCUGUCUACUUAUUUGAAGAUAAGUAAGAUAAAGUAACAGAUUAAAGCAUUUAGUAUAAUGCUUAGCAUAAAGUAGGUGUUUAUGGUAUUUUUUAUUAGACUCAAGGAAAGAGUGAAUUUAAGAGCAGAUAGGCAGCAAGAAAUGUAUUAGUGAAUCUUAGUGUGGAUCUUGAAUGACUUAAACUCCCUCUUGCCUAUACUUCCAGAAUUGAAGAAAGAGCUGGUUCUGGUGUACAGUAGGUGAGCUACCAAAUGAGUUCAAGUGCUCCUGGGUUCACACAGGGAGGUGAGAGCUACAGAGGGCGGGGAGCCAGACACAAUAGUUAGUCUUGUACAGGAAAUAGAGGCGAGAUUGAUUAUCUAAAGAGAAAGAUUGUUAAUUUAAUUCCCUUUGCACCUGUUCCUCUGCCUGGGCUAAAAUAACUAUUAUCACCAUUUGUUACAGAGCUGACACAGAAUAAUCAAACGUGUCCCUGGAGAAAUUAUACAAACAAAUUCUGCAAAAUUAUUCAAAGAGCCCAGAAGGGGAUUCCACAUGCUCCCCUACUUUUUUUAGUUUUCUAGCUCAGGUACAUAUGACAUCAAUAGAGUUAGGAAUGGUCAGUGAGGUGAAUGCCUGGGUGCCAGUAAUGGGGAAACUUGGCUUUUCCCAAUGCAAUGAAGUGCUCAGUGUUGAUGGGAAUAUUUGAUAUGGCUUGGCAUUUUCUGCCACUUUUUUUUUCUGGACAGUUCAGUGGGUAACAGACUGGGAGGGUAUAGGUCAGAAGAGACAGGGUCCAGGGAAGGAGGAUGUGGAAUAGACAAGAGGAGAAAAGGGGUUGUGUUGCUGGAAGCUCUAAAACAUGACUUCCUUCAGCUAAAGAAAUUUCCCCAAAGAUGAACCAGAAUGCGAAUGAUCUGUGCUGAAGUCCUCCAGUGGACUGUGAGUUACUUUAGGGCUGGAACUGUGUCUAAUUCAGUUUAUAAUAUGGGCACCUAGUAUAGUACCUGGCAAGUUGAAGCAUGUUUUAUUUGUUGUGAAAGGCUGGCACGAGAAAUACAAUAGUAAAUCAACUUUAGUAAAGUUUUAAUGUUUAUCUUCCUACAUAAUUUGCCUCAAUGUCUAACCCAGUAUCCAAGACUAAUUUUCAGAAUAUUUCAGCCUGCCAGUGAGAAGGCAUCUGAAUCCAAACAAUCCUUAGAAUAGUAGUUUGAAUUUCCCCUGCUAAAGGGGCCAGUGAUGUAGAGGUUUUUGCUCCUUCUGCCCAGCUCCUUGACUCCCCUGAUUGAGAUUCACUUCUAUGGAUUUCCCUUUCCUCAUUAGGUCUACUUCUUUCCUCAGUACACAGUGGCUUGUCUAAGAAAACAAGAUAGCGACUAAAGGGAAUGAAAAGAAUAUGGGUUAUAAGGAAGUGUUUGCCUCAUUUUAAAUCCCAGGUACACCUCUCUAACUUAAUUCUUUCAUCCCAAAUUUCCCUUCAUGUUUUAAUUCCUCAUCUAUAAUGACAUGUACUUCUUGGGUUGUCAUGUAAAUGAACUGAAAUGCAAAUGUAGUAAACAUGGAAUUAUGCCAGACCCAAAGUUGGAAGCAUCAGUUAGCAGUUCAGCUUAGGUAAUACCAGUGGCAGUGUCACCUCCAUUAGCUAGAAAUUGGACCAUCAUAUCUUGGAGAUGCUUGGCAGGAUUAACAUUCUAUAACUCCAACAUUCUAUUUCAGAAACUCCAGGACUUAGCUACUGUCAUUUCACUCAUAUACUGCAGAAAUACAGAGAAGUAUACCUCCAUACCCAGGGCUUAUUAGCAUCAGGUCUUUGUUUCAACCCAAGUCUAAGAUGUACCUCAAAAAAAUAAAAGAAAAUCUUGCAUUUUUGAAAUGUUGUAUUUUGUUGCUAUUGAAAAAGCCCAAAGGCUGUUUUCUUUAAAGAUUCAUUAAAUAUCCUAUGAUAUAUUAUCUGCCUUAGAAAACACAAAGAAUAAUAUACCAUCACAUAUUGCUUAAAACAAAUUGAACUGACCACAAGCAAUGACUCCCUUGAGACUAAAAUUCAGUAUUUGCAGAAGUAGUUAGUAUAUAGAGAUAAAUGUAGAUGCUUUGGAAUGCUUACUAAAGAGAGAACUAGAAAGGAUUUAAAAUGCCAUUUUAGGUAAUGGAAAUAAGAAUCCGGGGGGAGUUCCCGUCGUGGCACAGUGGUUAACGAAUCCGACUAGGAACCAUCAUGAGGUUGCGGGUUCGGUCCCUGCCCUUGCUCAGUGGGUUAACGAUCCGGCGUUGCCGUGAGCUGUGGUGUAGGUUGCAGACGCUGCUCGGAUCCUGCGUUGCUGUGCCUCUGGUGUAGGCCGGUGGCUACAGCUCCCAUUCAACCCCUAUCUGGGAACCUCCAUAUGCCGCGGGAGCGGCCCAAGAAA